This 1153-nucleotide long non-coding RNA is filed under the name Populus trichocarpa (black cottonwood). RNAcentral's name for it is "long non-coding RNA (PTRI_LNC000315)". The record is from RNAcentral. Lineage: Eukaryota; Viridiplantae; Streptophyta; Magnoliopsida; Malpighiales; Salicaceae.
AGGAAGGUUCUGAGAUACAGAAUGCCAAUGCGUUACAGCCCCUAUGGCUGAAAUACUAUUUUGUUUGAGGCAGCAUUGCCAGCAGAGAGAUACAUCUAACAAAAUUUGUACUCUCUUUUCUUCUCACAUGUUUUAAUCAUUGGGAAAGAUGAACAGAAGAUUUUUCCCUGCUUGGGUUGACGCGUUGAAAUGUGAGAAUUGGAGCUUUAUGUUGUUCAUGGUAGACAAUGAAAUCAAAAUGCCUGCUUCUUCUGUACUGCCUAAAAAUAUUCAUGCUUGAGCUAUCUUGAAAGCUUCCUCUGGUUGCAAUAUUAUAGUUUUUGUCAGGUACAUUGCUGCCUCUGUGUCUUUGCUUAAAUUAAGCCUGCUUUCUUUCUGUGGAACUUUUCUGUUUGAGAUGUCAUCUGAUGCUGCAAUUGUUAUCUUGACUGCUUUUCAGACCAUCAAUUGUUUUUACCCUAAAUAGAGUACCAUCCGCCUAAAAGCUUAGUGCUUGUUUUUGUGGUUGAACAUGUUUUUCAGAGUGCUUUUCUCUUGAAAAGUAUUAAAUUGAUUUUUUUAGAUGCUUUUCAUUCAGUCUUGAUGUCAAAAAUUUAAAAAAAAAAUCUAAAAAAAAAUUAUUUUGAUGUAUUUUCAAUUAAAAAGCACUCUACAUUGCUUUACCAAUGAACUAUGUUAGUGGGACAUGAGUAUGAUUUUAUGGGGUAUUUUUCAAGGCCUGUGAUCUUGCAGGUGCAAGGAGCUUACUACUACUAAGCCAUGCCUAUUGAUUUCCAACUCUAGAUUCAGUUUGUGAGCUUUUUGUCGUUUAAAUUGUGUUGGCUUGAUGUAUUUGUAUAUGAGAUAGCAUUACUCAAUGACUCGAGCAUUGGCAACGCAAACGAAUUCUUCCUGAGUUACCAACAAUCUAGAAUCUUAUCCGAAUGUAAAAUCCAAAUGGGUCUUGUGUUUAUUAAGAUGAUUAUAAAACUGAAAAUUAAGUUGCUGCCAUUACAUAUGAUGCAUAAAUGUUAGAUUUGUCAAUGGAUGAUAGAUACAACUUUGACCCACUUUGCCUAGUUACAAGACUCGGUCAGGUGGGCAAUGGAUGACAGGUGCCAUUCAUGACUUGCUUACUGAGUUGAUAAAACCUUGGCUGCUUCUGAACUUGCAG